AGAGUUUGAUCCUGGCUCAGGACGAACGCUGGCGGCGUGCUUAACACAUGCAAGUCGAACGAUGAACCACUUCGGUGGGGAUUAGUGGCGAACGGGUGAGUAACACGUGGGCAAUCUGCCCUGCACUCUGGGACAAGCCCUGGAAACGGGGUCUAAUACCGGAUACAACCACUAGGGGCAUCUCUUGGUGGUGGAAAGCUCCGGCGGUGCAGGAUGAGCCCGCGGCCUAUCAGCUUGUUGGUGAGGUAAUGGCUCACCAAGGCGACGACGGGUAGCCGGCCUGAGAGGGCGACCGGCCACACUGGGACUGAGACACGGCCCAGACUCCUACGGAGGCAGCAUGGGGAAUAUUGCACAAUGGGCGAAAGCCUGAUGCAGCGACGCCGCGUGAGGGAUGACGGCCUUCGGGUUGUAAACCUCUUUCAGCAGGGAAGAAGCGAAAGUGACGGUACCUGCAGAAGAAGCGCCGGCUAACUACGUGCCAGCAGCCGCGGUAAUACGUAGGGCGCGAGCGUUGUCCGGAAUUAUUGGGCGUAAAGAGCUCGUAGGCGGCUUGUCACGUCGGUUGUGAAAGCCCGGGGCUUAACCCCGGGUCUGCAGUCGAUACGGGCAGGCUAGAGUUCGGUAGGGGAGAUCGGAAUUCCUGGUGUAGCGGUGAAAUGCGCAGAUAUCAGGAGGAACACCGGUGGCGAAGGCGGAUCUCUGGGCCGAUACUGACGCUGAGGAGCGAAAGCGUGGGGAGCGAACAGGAUUAGAUACCCUGGUAGUCCACGCCGUAAACGGUGGGCACUAGGUGUGGGCAACAUUCCACGUUGUCCGUGCCGCAGCUAACGCAUUAAGUGCCCCGCCUGGGGAGUACGGCCGCAAGGCUAAAACUCAAAGGAAUUGACGGGGGCCCGCACAAGCGGCGGAGCAUGUGGCUUAAUUCGACGCAACGCGAAGAACCUUACCAAGGCUUGACAUACACC
RNAcentral lists this ribosomal RNA (968 nucleotides) under Streptomyces afghaniensis 772. RNAcentral describes it as "bacterial SSU rRNA". It matches the Rfam family "Bacterial small subunit ribosomal RNA", at positions 8 to 992 of the family's 1533-position model. The record is from RNAcentral. Lineage: Bacteria; Bacillati; Actinomycetota; Actinomycetes; Kitasatosporales; Streptomycetaceae.